GCCGUAGCCGCCGCCGUCGCCACCAUUCGCCGUUCAAGCUGCCGUUCACGGACAGGUAAAGUACCGCCGCACCACGUCCUCCUGUCGCUGCCGCCCUCCGUUCGUGUCACUGCCGUCGCCGCCGCUGCCGCUGGGACGCCCCGUCCCCCUCCCUCGGCGCCGCGAAUCGGGAACCCUAGGGUUCCCGAUUUUCCGGGUCGUGGCCUCGGGUCAUCGGAUCGGACCCGGGCCACGAGUCGGGUAGGGUUCCGCG
RNAcentral lists this long non-coding RNA (253 nucleotides) under Eucalyptus grandis. RNAcentral describes it as "long non-coding RNA (EGRA_LNC003407)". Lineage: Eukaryota; Viridiplantae; Streptophyta; Magnoliopsida; Myrtales; Myrtaceae. The record is from RNAcentral.